RNAcentral lists this ribosomal RNA (770 nucleotides) under uncultured Acaulosporaceae. RNAcentral describes it as "eukaryotic LSU rRNA". It matches the Rfam family "Eukaryotic large subunit ribosomal RNA", at positions 11 to 694 of the family's 3401-position model. Lineage: Eukaryota; Fungi; Glomeromycota; Glomeromycetes; Diversisporales; Acaulosporaceae. The record is from RNAcentral.
GUCAAGUAAGAAUACCCGCUGAACUUAAGCAUAUCAAUAAGCGGAGGAAAAGAAACUAACUAGGAUUCCCUUAGUAACGGCGAGUGAACUGGGAAGAGCUCAAAUUUUAAAUCACUUUGGUGAAUUGUAAUUUGAAGAAAGUGUUUUGACUUUUCAGUUUAAUCUAAAUCCUUUGGGAUGAGGUAUCAUAUAGGGUGAGAAUCCCGUUCGUGAUUAAACCUCGGAUUGCACUAAUUCACUUUCUAAGAGUCGAGUUGUUUGGGAUUGCAGCUCUAAAUGGGUGGUAAAUUUCACCUAAGGCUAAAUAUAUGCAAGAGACCGAUAGCGAACAAGUACCGUGAGGGAAAGAUGAAAAGAACUUUGAAAAGAGAGUUAAACAGUACGUGAAAUUGUUGAAAGGGAAACGAUUGAAGUCAGUCAUACUAGUGAGGAAUCAACUUGGUGGUUUACUUCCUUGUGUAUUUUCUUGCUUGGCAGGUUAGCAUCAAUUUUGGUUGUCAUCAAAUAAUUGGGGGAAUGUUGCUUUUCUUCGGGAAAGUGUUAUAGACCUUGAUAGAUGUGGCGACUGGGAUUGAGGUUUGCAGCGGAUGCCUUUGGCUAGUCACCUAUCUUCUGACCGUCACCUCGCUUUUGACGGCUUGCUGAUGAUUGCGGGAUUUGGUGGCCUAGAAGUUAGAAUGUACAUAAAUUCGCUAAGGAUGCUGACGUAAUGGCUUUAAACGACCCGUCUUGAAACACGGACCAAGGAGUCUAACAUAUGUGCGAGUGUU